Molecule: long non-coding RNA, 490 nt
Organism: Pundamilia nyererei
Lineage: Eukaryota; Metazoa; Chordata; Actinopteri; Cichliformes; Cichlidae
Exons: 4
Source: RefSeq, a predicted model, not a curated record
AAAAGAAAAACUGCGCUUUAGUAGUUUUUCAUUGGUGUCAGAGUCAUCGGCUUACAGUUAUGGUGUAAACUGUAGGGUGAGUGCAGUCGCUUGAUCAUGAAACCGGAAGUGAAAGUGUUCAUCAAACCAAGUCACACGAGUGGUCUAGAAGGGGAAUGAAAUGUGCUUCACUCUACAGUAAUGUAAAAGUUUGCUUGUAAAUCACAAAGGAGAUAACAAGAGCCUGAGGGGGAGAAAAAUACAAAGCAACUGCAGCUGCUGUCCGCUCGAGACGUGGAAUUGUUAUUUGCUCCAGAGGAGACGCUCUGCACUUGCCAACGAUGAAUGAGAAAGACGGUGCCUGAGUAAUUUAGAACAACAGUUGGAUAACAGUCUGCACCCACAAUGGAGCAAGCAAGAGACUGAGACUAACUACAUGAACUGCUCCACACACACCAUUGUGAGACCAAAGGACCUUUUUCAGGCUCUGAAGAAAUGGACGACUGCAAAA